GAUGAACGCUGGCGGCGUGCCUAAUACAUGCAAGUCGAGCGAACAGACGAGGAGCUUGCUCCUCUGACGUUAGCGGCGGACGGGUGAGUAACACGUGGAUAACCUACCUAUAAGACUGGGAUAACUUCGGGAAACCGGAGCUAAUCCCGGAUAAUAUAUUGAACCGCAUGGUUCAAUAGUGAAAGACGGUUUUGCUGUCACUUAUAGAUGGAUCCGCGCCGCAUUAGCUAGUUGGUAAGGUAACGGCUUACCAAGGCAACGAUGCGUAGCCGACCUGAGAGGCGGAUCGCCCACCCUAGAGCUGAGACGCGGUCCAGACUCCUACGGGAGGCAGCAGUAGGGAAUCUUCCGCAAUGGGCGAAAGCCUGACGGAGCGACGCCGCGUGAGGGAUGAAGGUCCUCGGAUCGUAAAACUCUGUUAUUAGGGAAAAACAAAUGUGUAAGUAACUAUGCACGUCUUGACGGUACCUAAUCAAAAAGCCACGGCUAACUACGUG
Molecule: ribosomal RNA, 497 nt
Filed under: uncultured bacterium
Lineage: Bacteria
Description: partial 16S ribosomal RNA
Rfam family: Bacterial small subunit ribosomal RNA
Source: RNAcentral